RNAcentral lists this ribosomal RNA (523 nucleotides) under Clostridioides difficile. Its description in RNAcentral is "bacterial SSU rRNA". It matches the Rfam family "Bacterial small subunit ribosomal RNA", at positions 275 to 816 of the family's 1533-position model. Lineage: Bacteria; Bacillati; Bacillota; Clostridia; Peptostreptococcales; Peptostreptococcaceae. The record is from RNAcentral.
GACGAUCAGUAGCCGACCUGAGAGGGUGAUCGGCCACAUUGGAACUGAGACACGGUCCAAACUCCUACGGGAGGCAGCAGUGGGGAAUAUUGCACAAUGGGCGAAAGCCUGAUGCAGCAACGCCGCGUGAGUGAUGAAGGCCUUCGGGUCGUAAAACUCUGUCCUCAAGGAAGAUAAUGACGGUACUUGAGGAGGAAGCCCCGGCUAACUACGUGCCAGCAGCCGCGGUAAUACGUAGGGGGCUAGCGUUAUCCGGAUUUACUGGGCGUAAAGGGUGCGUAGGCGGUCUUUCAAGUCAGGAGUGAAAGGCUACGGCUCAACCGUAGUAAGCUCUUGAAACUGGGAGACUUGAGUGCAGGAGAGGAGAGUGGAAUUCCUAGUGUAGCGGUGAAAUGCGUAGAUAUUAGGAGGAACACCAGUUGCGAAGGCGGCUCUCUGGACUGUAACUGACGCUGAGGCACGAAAGCGUGGGGAGCAAACAGGAUUAGAUACCCUGGUAGUCCACGCUGUAAACGAUGAGUAC